CAUAAAAAACUAUAAAUGACAAGUCGAUUAGAAAAUUUUCAAGCAAUCUCAGGGAAAAAGUAAGCCAGCGGCGGCAGAGUACAAUCGCUAAUAAAAUGAAAAAAAAAAACAAAAAAUGGGUAUCGAGUUAAAGGAAAAUUAAGAACUCCAGCCAGUCAAGCUACUAGCAACGAAUUCGAUGAACGAACGAAGUGAAAGGAACGUCGUGUAGGAACAUUCAAAAGGCUGACAACUCGAAAUGAAUUACGACGAGAAACAGCAUUGGCAAGCGAAUACUUCAAAACGAAAGAUAUAGCAAAGCAGAAUAAGUGAAACGAAUGUAAAAUUCUAGAAAUGUUCAAAAUGUAUUAUCUGGCCACCUUUUGUGCCCUCGCUGAUCCCCUGCUGCAUGCAUUCAUAAGAACAUAUGUAUGUAUGUACAUGCACUGGGUGUAUAUGCAUGUGAGUGUAUAUGUAAGUUGUUGUAUGUGUUGGCAAACUGCGAGAUACGAGUAUACUUUUAGUAUCUGAAGAAAUGAAAUUAAAUAAAAUAAACCAAAUGUUUUACGACGGCCUGCCAAGGGACGGGUACAAAGAAAGGACGGACGAAAAUAACACUGUAUACUAUACAUACAGUGAAUAGAACACCAGAACACCAAGGAGCGAGCAAGCGAAGCAACUCAAGACUCAACUGUUGGCAGUUAAAAGUGGUGGAAGUAAUGCUGGUGUGGUGUGGUGUGGUGUGGUUGUUUGACGUUACUAGGAGGGCGAGCAUUCUAAAUGUGCGAUUACUUAUGGUGCUGAAGAAAAAGAGCCACAAUGAAAACAACAAUCUCGAAUAGCCAUAGCCAUAGUCGUCGUCGUCGUCGUCGUCGACGACGUGGUUGCCGCCGUUGACGAUGACAAAGGCGUGUAGAUAAGAAACAGAAGCGAACACAAAGCACACAGAGCACACAAUCGUUGUGUACCUUCAUGCAUGUUGACUAAACGUAGAGCGCUGGCUGGCUCAUGGUUCUUGGCUCUGGGCUGUGUCGUGGCACAGCACGGCACGAAACACGACGCAAUCAAGGGAGCAUAAUAAAAAUGCGGAGGCAAGACAGUGGUAGGUAUUGCAUUUAAGUAUAGUGUGUGAAGUUGUGCGGCUUCAAAGCGAUUUGACAGCGACGAACGACAGAACAAACAGACGGACGGCCGGAUGGCCGGUCGGACGUGACCGACUGUCGCGGUAGAAGCUUUGAACGACAACAUCGAAAACACAAACACCGGGGUUUGCUGGGUUGAGUUGCUCGGAAAGAAGCAUUAAGUGAACAAACAGAAUCGAAGUGACAGACUAGCAAAACAAAGGAGCGGAUGGGCGGCGAAGAACAAUAUGCCACAUAGACGGCGGCACAGUCCGACCGACGAAGAGAAGACACAACCAACAAGCAAUAACGACGAUGUGCUGCUUGGCUAGCACCAAAGCAAACGCAAGCACAGAGAACAUCGAACGAACAAUGAAAGACACACACAAGGGAAUGGUGCAGAUGGGUUGGGUUGUUGGUGAGUUAGCUGGUGACUGUUUCGACAGCAACGAUUCAACCAACAGCCACUUUAACGAAAAAAAAUUUAAUAAAUUAAAACACAAACAAAAAAUCCAAAGACAAGCAAACUUACGAAACAGAGUCAUCGACGAACUAGAAGACGGCUACAACGACGGCGGCUAUACCCAGGGAACGACGAUGACUUAGCAACUACAUUCAACCCAACACACAAUACGAAGUCAAAGUCAGCAAAGCGGAUUCGAAAUUGUAUUGAAAAAUAUCAAAAAAAACAUACAUACAUACUACAUACUUGGAAAUAUUGCUGAGCAAAGAGGAGCGCAAAGCAAAAAAAAAACAACGCUGUAGAAGCAAGCCAACGAAUGAACAAACGAACCAAAUAGAACCAGUGAGCACAGCACACACACAAACAAAACAUCAGUAACGAGUAAAAUAAUAAUACGACUUAUAAGAAAGAAAAACACAUUUUUUAAGCGAUAGCAAACUCGGCAACAGAAACAGCAGAAAUCCAGCGCGAAAACAACGGCCAUAAUAAAAACAAAAACAA
Molecule: long non-coding RNA, 2064 nt
Filed under: Rhagoletis pomonella (apple maggot)
Lineage: Eukaryota; Metazoa; Arthropoda; Insecta; Diptera; Tephritidae
Description: uncharacterized LOC118737914
Source: RNAcentral